AUGCAUUUAAAAGAUUUUUACUUUUCGUAUCUUUGAAACUUAUUUAUAGCUGGUUUGGAGUCCCUAUUUAUUGCUGACUUGUGCCUUUCAGGUGCUGAUCUCCAACAAACAAUGUUUCACAGCCUCUUGGAAGUUUGCAGUCAGUGAAUCUUGAUUCUAUGUUACGUUACACUUUUGUGCCUGAUUAUUCCGUACGAGCUGUUACGGAUGUCUGUUAUGCUCGCAUUAAGCGCUCUCUUUACCUUGCUGCAAAGAGGGCUACACUAAUGGAGCAGUCAAAGAAAGGCUCCGUGACAGACAACUUCAAUGAUGAGGUUGAUAAGUUACUUGCUGGUGAAGAUGAUUCAAAAAGUCAAAGCUCUCCUGAAAUGACGAGAAAUACAUCGCAAUUAGAUGAACUGAAUGGCCAGUUUAAUGACUUCAGCCCUACCCAUCAUCAGCACAAACAGAACUCCACCAAGUCUUCAUCAUUAAUCUCACCGGUGUGUCCUCGCUCCAAGAUCGAUGGCAUUGAAAUUGCAAGCCUUGAGGAGCAAGAGAACCUACUUGAUCACAGAAGCAAUUGUCAAGAAGAAACUGGUGUAUCAUAA
RNAcentral lists this long non-coding RNA (590 nucleotides) under Bemisia tabaci. Its description in RNAcentral is "lncRNA ENSSSA2NGG009752". Lineage: Eukaryota; Metazoa; Arthropoda; Insecta; Hemiptera; Aleyrodidae. The record is from RNAcentral.